CAGAGGUCUCAAGCGUUGUUCGGAUUCAUUGGGCGUAAAGGGUGUGUAGGUGGCGCGCUAAGUCGGUGUGAAAUUUCGGAGCUUAACUCCGAGACUGCAUUCGAUACUGGCGUGCUUGAGGACUGGAGAGGAGACUGGAAUUCAUGGUGUAGCAGUGAAAUGCGUAGAGAUCAUGAGGAAGACCAGUGGCGAAGGCGGGUCUCUGGACAGUUCCUGACACUGAGACACGAAGGCCAGGGGAGCAAACGGGAUUAGAUACCCCGGUAGUCCUGGCAGUAAACGGUGCACGUUUGGUGUGGGAGGAUUCGACCCCUUCUGCGCCGGAGCUAACGCGUUAAACGUGCCGCCUGGGGAGUACGGUCGCAAGAUUA
RNAcentral lists this ribosomal RNA (371 nucleotides) under uncultured organism. Its description in RNAcentral is "bacterial SSU rRNA". It matches the Rfam family "Bacterial small subunit ribosomal RNA", at positions 526 to 896 of the family's 1533-position model. The record is from RNAcentral.